AUUGAACGCUGGCGGCAGGCCUAACACAUGCAAGUCGAACGGUAACAGAAAGCAGCUUGCUGCUUUGCUGACGAGUGGCGGACGGGUGAGUAAUGUCUGGGAAACUGCCUGAUGGAGGGGGAUAACUACUGGAAACGGUAGCUAAUACCGCAUAACGUCGCAAGACCAAAGAGGGGGACCUUCGGGCCUCUUGCCAUCGGAUGUGCCCGGAUGGGAUUAGCUAGUAGGUGGGGUAACGGCUCACCUAGGCGACGAUCCCUAGCUGGUCUGAGAGGAUGACCAGCCACACUGGAACUGAGACACGGUCCAGACUCCUACGGGAGGCAGCAGUGGGGAAUAUUGCACAAUGGGCGCAAGCCUGAUGCAGCCAUGCCGCGUGUAUGAAGAAGGCCUUCGGGUUGUAAAGUACUUUCAGCGGGGAGGAAGGGAGUAAAGUUAAUACCUUUGCUCAUUGACGUUACCCGCAGAAGAAGCACCGGCUAACUCCGUG
This 490-nucleotide ribosomal RNA is filed under the name uncultured bacterium. RNAcentral's name for it is "partial 16S ribosomal RNA". It matches the Rfam family "Bacterial small subunit ribosomal RNA", at positions 30 to 507 of the family's 1533-position model. The record is from RNAcentral.